Molecule: ribosomal RNA, 167 nt
Filed under: uncultured bacterium
Lineage: Bacteria
Description: partial 16S ribosomal RNA
Rfam family: Bacterial small subunit ribosomal RNA
Source: RNAcentral
UAGGGAAUCUUCCACAAUGGGCGCAAGCCUGAUGGAGCAACACCGCGUGAGUGAAGAAGGGUUUCGGCUCGUAAAGCUCUGUUGUUAAAGAAGAACACGUAUGAGAGUAACUGUUCAUACGUUGACGGUAUUUAACCAGAAAGUCACGGCUAACUACGUGCCAGCAG